RNAcentral lists this ribosomal RNA (466 nucleotides) under uncultured bacterium. RNAcentral describes it as "partial 16S ribosomal RNA". It matches the Rfam family "Bacterial small subunit ribosomal RNA", at positions 28 to 507 of the family's 1533-position model. The record is from RNAcentral.
GAUGAACGCUGGCGGCGUGCUUAACACAUGCAAGUCGAACGGAAAGGCUCCUGCUUGCAGGGGUACUCGAGUGGCGAACGGGUGAGUAACACGUGGGUGAUCUGCCCUGCACUUCGGGAUAAGCCUGGGAAACUGGGUCUAAUACCGGAUAGGACGAUGGUUUGGAUGCCAUUGUGGAAAGUUUUUUCGGUGUGGGAUGAGCUCGCGGCCUAUCAGCUUGUUGGUGGGGUAAUGGCCUACCAAGGCGUCGACGGGUGGCCGGCCUGAGAGGGUGUACGGCCACAUUGGGACUGAGAUACGGCCCAGACUCCUACGGGAGGCAGCAGUGGGGAAUAUUGCACAAUGGGCGCAAGCCUGAUGCAGCGACGCCGCGUGGGGGAUGACGGCCUUCGGGUUGUAAACUCCUUUCGCUAGGGACGAAGCGCAAGUGACGGUACCUGGAGAAGAAGCACCGGCUAACUACGUG